Molecule: ribosomal RNA, 508 nt
Filed under: uncultured bacterium
Lineage: Bacteria
Description: partial 16S ribosomal RNA
Rfam family: Bacterial small subunit ribosomal RNA
Source: RNAcentral
GAUGAACGCUAGCUACAGGCUUAACACAUGCAAGUCGAGGGGAAACGAUAUUGGAAGCUUGCUUCCGAUAGGCGUCGACCGGCGCACGGGUGAGUAACGCGUAUCCAACCUGCCCACCACUUGGGAAUAACCUUGCGAAAGUAAGACUAAUGCCCAAUGAUAUCUCUAGAAGACAUCUGAAAGAGAUUAAAGAUUUAUCGGUGAUGGAUGGGGAUGCGUCUGAUUAGCUUGUUGGCGGGGUAACAGCCCACCAAGGCGACGAUCAGUAGGGGUUCUGAGAGGAAGGUCCCCCACAUUGGAACUGAGACACGGUCCAUACUCCUACGGGAGGCAGCAGUGAGGAAUAUUGGUCAAUGGGCGAGAGCCUGAACCAGCCAAGUAGCGUGCAGGAUGACGGCCCUAUGGGUUGUAAACUGCUUUUAUAAGGGAAUAAAGUGAGCCUCGUGAGGCUUUUUGCAUGUACCUUAUGAAUAAGGACCGGCUAAUUCCGUGCCAGCCGCCGCAGUAA